AUUUCUCAACAUUUUAGAAGGAAAUAAAUAGAAAAAGGAAAACGAGAAGAAAAACAAGAAGUGAGAGAAGAGAACUGUCUAUUUAUCUAGAGACGUUACAAAGGCUGUCAGAGACGUUUCUUGUACGUUGUCCUGCAGUGAUUGGAUGAUAUAUCUUUAUUUAAAGUUUAUUUGUUUUUAUACUGAUAUUGUUAUGUUAUACUAUGAGACCAUCUUUAUCGCGGACUUUAGUGGGGUUUCUAAACAAAAAGAGUGAUUUAAUUAAAUGAAAAGUAAUUAGAAAGGUUAUUAGCGAUCCUUAGUUUAGGUUUUUUGUGAUCGAUUAUUUGGUGGGUUUCAAACCACGUGUCAAUAAAUCAGAGGACUGAAUUUAUAUUUUUCUUUUUCUUUUCUUUCUUUCUUUUGUUUUUUUUUUGCAUUCUUUCUCGUGGUCUUUGUUUUCUCCGUCAAGAGAGAGACCCAAAUCGACGACGUCUCUCUGUCUCGUCCCACUUCGCUCGUCUUCUCCAUCGGAUCAAGGAUCGAGACCGAAGACCGACGACGUCUCUCUGGCUCCUCACGGAGAUUCCUCCGCCUUCUCCGCCAAAACCGACGAUCAAAACCGAGGAUGAGUCACGUGGUCCUCACGGAGUCUCGUCGCACUUCUGUCGUCUUCUCCGUCAGAUCAAGGAUCAAAACCGAAGACCGACGACGUCUCUCUGGCUCCUCACGGAGAUUCCUCCGCCUUCUCCGCCGAAACCGACGAUCGAAUCCGAAGACGAGUCAGGUGAUCCUCACGGAGUCUCGUCGCACUUCUCUCAUCUUCUCCGUCAGAUCAAGGAUAGAAACCGAAGACCGACGACGUCUCUCUGGCUCCUCACGGAGAUUCCUCCGCCUUCAUGUGAGUGUCGACGACUCUGUCCGUGUUGACGGCGCCUCCUCCGUUGGUCUUUCAGCUCUGGCCAACGAUCUCUUCAACGUGGAGAUAAGUUCCCAACUAAUUACAUCCUUCUCGUUUCAAUUCAUGAAUGCAUGUGAUAGUAGUUAAGUUAAUGAAUGGUGAUUACGGUUAUAAGUUUUGUGUAUCAUUAUAAAGAUGUAGCCUUUGAUCGAACUUUGUAGGCUACUUAAAUGUUUAGUAUGUUUUGUCUGAUUGUUUAGUUAAAAAGUCAUUAGGAUACAAUGAGAUUGUUAGUUAAUCUUCAAACUAAUACUGAAGAUCAGAGUGGACUUGGUUUGCUUGGUUUGCGUAGGAGAAUCAUGUGAGGAGGCAAAGAUCAGAGUGAGGACGCAAAGAUCAGAAUGAUCUGACUACUUGAGACUUUUGGUUAGAGAAAUGAAGAGAGUGUCUGUUUGUGUCACGUUCAGUCACAAGAGCAUGCAAAGAUAUGAAGAGAAGUUUGUCUGUUUGUGUCACGUUCAGUGACAAGAGCAUGCAGAGAUAUGAAGAGAAGUUUGUUUGUUUGUGUCACGAGCUGUGUAUGUGGGCUUCUCAAAGUAAUGAGUGUGUCGCAUUAUGUAAAUAUUAUCUUUGCUUUUUCUAGUUUGUUGUUUUCCUAUAGUCACGAGUGUAAUAUAUUAUGUCUUCUGUUAUAUAAACGGUUCAUUCACAAA
This is a long non-coding RNA of Brassica napus (rape), 1593 nucleotides long. RefSeq lists it as uncharacterized. NCBI's taxonomy places the organism in Eukaryota, Viridiplantae, Streptophyta, Magnoliopsida, Brassicales, Brassicaceae. The record is from RefSeq and is a predicted model, not a curated record. The transcript has 2 exons.